RNAcentral lists this ribosomal RNA (551 nucleotides) under uncultured Glomeromycotina. RNAcentral's name for it is "SSU rRNA". It matches the Rfam family "Eukaryotic small subunit ribosomal RNA", at positions 548 to 1098 of the family's 1831-position model. RNAcentral also lists the same sequence under 1 other name. The record is from RNAcentral. Lineage: Eukaryota; Fungi; Glomeromycota.
UUGGAGGGCAAGUCUGGUGCCAGCAGCCGCGGUAAUUCCAGCUCCAAUAGCGUAUAUUAAAGUUGUUGCAGUUAAAAAGCUCGUAGUUGAAUUUCGGAAUUUUUUUAUCGGUUGAAUCAACAGGUUCGUACUGAUUUUAAGAAUUUCUACCUUCUGGAGAACCUUAAUGUCAUUUAUUUGAUGUUUUGGGAAACCAGGACUGUUACCUUGAAAAAAUUAGAGUGUUUAAAGCAGGCUUAUGUCUGAAUAUAUUAGCAUGGAAUAAUGAAAUAGGACGGCAUGGUUCUAUUUUGUUGGUUUCUAGGAUCACCGUAAUGAUUAAUAGGGAUAGUUGGGGGCAUUAGUAUUCAAUUGUCAGAGGUGAAAUUCUUGGAUUUAUUGAAGACUAACUUCUGCGAAAGCAUUUGCCAAGGAUGUUUUCAUUAAUCAAGAACGAAAGUUAGGGGAUCGAAGACGAUCAGAUACCGUCGUAGUCUUAACCAUAAACUAUGCCGACUAGGAAUCGGACGAAGUUAAUUUUUUAAUGACUCGUUCGGCGCCUUACGGGAAAC